RNAcentral lists this ribosomal RNA (954 nucleotides) under uncultured Tulasnella mycobiont of Aneura pinguis. RNAcentral's name for it is "eukaryotic LSU rRNA". The stretch from base 319 to 954 matches the Rfam family "Eukaryotic large subunit ribosomal RNA", at positions 1 to 667 of the family's 3401-position model. The record is from RNAcentral. Lineage: Eukaryota; Fungi; Basidiomycota; Agaricomycetes; Cantharellales; Tulasnellaceae.
GAUGAAGACCGUAGCAAAUUGCGAUAAGUGGUGUGAUAUGCGAGUCCAAAACUUAUACGUGAACCAUCGAAUUGUUGAACGCAUCGCAUCGAGCUUUGCCCAAGCACGAUAUGUCCCAUUGAGCGUCAUUAUGUCUUUGGAUUUUAUUCCAAGUUCGGGAUUUAUGGCCCUCAGCCAUGCUUCCUUGGAUGUAUCAGUGCCAGAUGGAGUGGUACUCCCCUUGUCGUAAACUUCAAGGUGUCCACAUCAGCUCUGGCCUGUCGACCGAUCCUAGUCGGUCAACAUGAGGGUGCCUUCAAUGGUUACCUCUCUCAAACAUGAUCUCAAGGGGGCAAGACAACCCGCUAGACUUAAGCAUAUUAAUCAGCGGAGGAAAAGAAACUAACAAGGAUUCCCCCAGUAACUGCGAGUGAAGAGGGAUCAGCUCAACGUGUGAAUCUGAUAAGGUUUAAUGCCUUGUCCGACUUGUGCACUAUUGACACUGGCUCAGCGUAUGAAUACUAAAGGCGGAUGUCCGAUGAAACACGGCACCAUAGCGGGUCACAGUCCUAUACAUGCCUAUUGGUGUUUACGCAUAUGACCAGUGCUCAUCGAGUCGUGUAGUUUUGUAUUGCUGCACUAAUUGGGAGGUAGAGCCCUUCUAAAGCUAAAUAUUAUGGCAUGACCGAUAGCAAACAAGUACCGUGAGGGAAAGGUGAAAAGCAACCAUGCAGAAUGGGUUGAAAGAGUAGUGAAAGUGCUACCGGGAUAAGGGCUAGUGAUUGCAAGUGCAGAUCGUGUGUGCUUUAGUGCUACACUAACUGCCGUCAUGCAUCGAUUGGGUUGGGGAGAACAGGUCGGUGGAGAUUCAGCUCGAUCCAGAGUGUUGUAACCCACCAGGCAAUGGAGUCCCAUCCGAUCGGAUACAAGGUGCAUUGGUUGCGGUCAUUAGCCGCCCGUCUUGAAACACGGACC